UGUUACAGUGAAAAUGUGUGUCGUGACUUUAUAGACUUAUUUUAGAAAUAAUAAUUGUUAAACAAUUAUAAAUUGUUAUUAAAUUGAUUAAUUAAAUUGUUGUGAACAAAUUGUGAUAUAAAUUAUUGCUGACUGUUGUGAAUUUUGUCAAAAAUUAAUGGACAUGUCAAUGGCGUUGAAGCUGACAAAGGCAAAUUUUAAUUUGUUAAAAAAUGGACAAAUGAUAUAUAACAAGAAGUGUGGCAGAAAAAUAUCUAAUGUACUAAUGCAAUUAAUCAAACAAUAUUAUUGAAAAUUGGUUUGUUAUUGGAGCCAAGAUCAUUUUGGAGCCUAUUGCAUUAAAUUUAUCCGGGGACAAAAACAUUCAGUAUUGCCAAUAUCUAUGUAAUGUCAGAUGAUUUACAUAAUUAAAAAAGAACAUGAAGAGAAAGUAACUGUUUAAUUUACAAUAACCAAGACUGCUUGAAUGAUAUAAAAUAUAACAUGAACAAUACCAAGCAAAUGAUUAUAGUGUUAAAAGUGUCAUUAAGUGCGUCGUUGAUUUUAGUUUGUGUUACCAAGUGCUUUAAAAAUUAAUCAAAUUGUUUAUAAACUAUUUGACAAUUUAACAAUCAUCAAAUACACUUAGACCAGCAACAAAAUGAAAAAUAAACCUAAUCAUCACGACAAUCUACAUGAUAUGCUUAUGCUUCAACAAUAAUAAUGAAUAAUCAUUACUCAAUUAAUUAUUUACAUGUUGCAUGUGCAAUUGAAUUUAAAAAAUAUCAAGUUUAAAUGAAAUCCAACACCUCAUGAGUUAUCUAAUAUGAUUUAUCAAUCUUUUCUAGACAAACAAUAACAUCACAUGGUGCUGGUAAUAAUGACUCUUAAGCUCUUUCUAAUGUACCACUUGUUGUUUUUAUAUUGGUGAAUAUUUAUCAAUUUUAAUUAAAAUUAAUUUUGGAAAAUCGCUGGUGAUGCUGAUAAAUCAUAACAUGUUGGCUUGAGCGUUGGGAGUGUCAAGAAAUUGCUGCCUCUACUGAAGAGCUUGCCUCUAUCGAAGAGCUUGCAUCUAUAGCAACGACGUGUAUAUUAUCAUCAACCCACGUGACAACCCAAGAGUCUCGAGACCUUCUUUUGAAAUUGAUAAACCACUUUUAAAUCAUAAAAAUAGCAUACUUAAAUAAACCAGUCAAAUCGUUUAUUAUCAAGUGAAUAAUUAUAAGAACAAUUUAUUGAAUCAUGAAGUACUUUAUAAACUAUAUGAGAAGAUAUUUGUUGUUUUUUUUUUUUUUUUUUUGUUACAAGUGGUGUGGUAGUGAAAAGUGUUUUAAAAAAGUUGUGGUGAAAAGGGAUGGUGAUCAUAGUUUUGUGUAUGUUGUUGUGUGUGAUCAUCGAACCUGUUGCUGAUCCAAUUGAUCCAUCACAUGAACUACAUGGAGUGCAGCAUCCUCUAGUCUUCAUGGAUUUCUUUUACAUAAUCGUUGAUGCAUUUGAAUGCUGCCUCUUAGAUCUUCUACAUAGGAGUUGAUGCUGCCUUCUAGAACUUCUAAAUAAGGUAAGAGACCCUCUGGUCAUUUUUUUAACCAAUCCCUCAGGGUAAAGUGCGUCAACAAGCUUGUAUCUUGGAAGAAUUUAUGAUAUAAUUCUUUCAAGCUACUUGAUAAUUAUUCCCAAUAUUUAUAUUUUAUAUAUUUUUGUGACUCGUAGCUCACCUUGAUCACUUUUUCUUUUUUUUUUCUUUUUUAAUUAUAAAUUUGAAUGCCAGAAGAGUUUAUUGAUCAAGGUGUGCACAUCAACCUGUCUAUCUCAAACAGAGUAGACGGGGGUGAAUAGGAUGUGUUUCAGGUAUUUGCAGAAAUGGAUUUCAAAUGUAAGACAUCAAUUUAUUUUUUCUAGAAAAGAUUAUUGAAUGUUUAUUUUAUUCCUUUUCAGGUUUUUUUUUAAAUCAUUUUUCAUGUUUAUUAUAUAUUUAUUUUUAUAAUAUUUAGAUUCAAGUAAUUUCUUGUUGAACGCACUUUACCAAAAAUAUUUUUUUUUAAUUGAAUGCGCCUUAUCAAUGCUUUGAUAACAAUGGCUGCAAAUAAUUUACGUUUGUCAUUUGAAGAUUUAGUGUGUGCAUAAAUAAUACA
Molecule: long non-coding RNA, 2111 nt
Filed under: Aphidius gifuensis
Lineage: Eukaryota; Metazoa; Arthropoda; Insecta; Hymenoptera; Braconidae
Description: uncharacterized LOC122858829
Source: RNAcentral